Molecule: ribosomal RNA, 787 nt
Filed under: uncultured bacterium
Lineage: Bacteria
Description: bacterial SSU rRNA
Rfam family: Bacterial small subunit ribosomal RNA
Source: RNAcentral
AGAGUUUGAUCAUGGCUCAGAAUGAACGCUGGCGGCGUGCUUAACACAUGCAAGUCGAGCGAGAAAGUUUCUUCGGAAAUGAGUAAAGCGGCGAACGGGUGAGUAAUACAUAAGAAUCUACCCUUUAGUGUGGAAUAUCUUCAAGAAAUUGAAGUUAAUACCGCAUAAGUCCUAUGGGAGAAAGGCGGCUUUAUGCUGUCGCUAAAGGAGGAGCUUAUGAACUAUCAGCUAGUUGGUAGGGUAAAGGCCUACCAAGGCUAUGACGGUUAACCGGCCUGAGAGGGUGUACGGUCACAUUGGAACUGAGAUACGGUCCAGACUCCUACGGGAGGCAGCAGUGGGGAAUAUUGCGCAAUGGGCGAAAGCCUGACGCAGCGACGCCGCGUGGAGGAUGAAAGUCUUCGGAUUGUAAACUCCUGUCAGGUGGGAAGAAAGGCUUUUUUUUAAUAGAAAAGAGUUAUGACGGUACCAUCAGAGGAAGCACUGGCUAAUCUCGUGCCAGCAGCCGCGGUAAUACGAGAGGUGCUAGCGUUAUUCGGAAUUAUUGGGCGUAAAGGGCGCGUAGGCGGUCUAUUAAGUUUGUUGUUAAAGCCUCUGGCUUAACCGGAGAAAAGCAAUAAAAACUGAUAAACUAGAGGGUGAGAGAGAGAAGUGGAAUUCCCGGAGUAGCGGUAAAAUGCGUAGAUCUCGGGAGGAACACCAAUGGCGAAGGCUGCUUCUUGGCUCACAACUGACGCUGAGGCGCGAAAGCGUGGGGAGCAAACAGGAUUAGAUACCCUAGUAGUCC